AGUCGGAGCCCUAGACUUAAGGGUCCUGCAAUUUAGGGGUUCUUUGUGAUGCCUUAAGGCAUCACUAAAGAUAUUUCUAAGUAAAUAGAAAGCGAUGUAAUUUACAAAUUUAGUAGGGUCUUUAAGUCUAGGGUGACGGCG
RNAcentral lists this ribosomal RNA (141 nucleotides) under Taylorella asinigenitalis. Its description in RNAcentral is "partial 23S rRNA". The record is from RNAcentral. Lineage: Bacteria; Pseudomonadati; Pseudomonadota; Betaproteobacteria; Burkholderiales; Alcaligenaceae.